GACGAACGCUGGCGGCGUGCCUAACACAUGCAAGUCGAACGGGGUGAUUCCUUCGGGGAUCACUUAGUGGCGAACGGGUGAGUAACGCGUGAGAAACCUGCCUUUCAGUGGGGGACAACAGUUGGAAACGACUGCUAAUACCGCAUAAUGUUUCGAGAGGGCAUCCUUUUGAAACCAAAGCUUUAUGUGCUGAAAGAUGGUCUCGCGUCUGAUUAGCUAGUUGGUGAGGUAACCGGCUCACCAAGGCGACGAUCAGUAGCCGGUCUGAGAGGAUGAACGGCCACAUUGGGACUGAGACACGGCCCAGACUCCUACGGGAGGCAGCAGUGGGGGAUAUUGCGCAAUGGGGGGCAACCCUGACGCAGCAACGCCGCGUGAAGGAUGAAGGUUUUCGGAUCGUAAACUUCUUUAAGUGGGAAAGAUAGUGACGGUACCCACAGAAUAAGCCACGGCUAACUACGUG
This 463-nucleotide ribosomal RNA is filed under the name uncultured bacterium. RNAcentral's name for it is "bacterial SSU rRNA". It matches the Rfam family "Bacterial small subunit ribosomal RNA", at positions 28 to 507 of the family's 1533-position model. The record is from RNAcentral.